Non-coding RNA from Pocillopora verrucosa, 319 nucleotides. The record is from RefSeq and is a predicted model, not a curated record. NCBI's taxonomy places the organism in Eukaryota, Metazoa, Cnidaria, Anthozoa, Scleractinia, Pocilloporidae.
UUGACGCAGGACUUUCUAUCAGCCCAGAAGGUCCAAUGAUCCAUGUUGGAUAUGUUUUUCAGUGGAUGUUUGCUCAUGUCUAAUCAGAAUAAGCAGGAACUGAAAUUGUCAACAAAAGUCUUGGGACACUCAUACAAAUACAUCUGGAUAUAAGAGACGUUUGUCAUCUCAUCAUGAAACAGAAUCUUUUUUGGGGAGAAGAAAUACUCCUGAUGAGGCUCAGAAUACUGGAGGACUUUUCACAGUAUUAAACAAAUUUUGGGCAACAGAACUUGCAGAUGUUUUAAUACCAAGAGACCAAGUGUCAGUUGGAGAUCCU